GUGGGGAAUCUUCCGCAAUGGACGAAAGUCUGACGGAGCGACGCCGCGUGAGUGAAGAAGGCCUUCGGGUCGUAAAGCUCUGUCAUCAGGGACGAACGGCCGGUGGAGUGGAAAGCCACCGGAUUGACGGUACCUGAGAAGGAAGCCACGGCUAACUACGUGCCAGCAGCCGCGGUAAUACGUAGGUGGCAAGCGUUGUCCGGAAUUAUUGGGCGUAAAGCGCGCGCAGGUGGGAUCUUAAGUCCAUUUUUAAAGUUCGGAGCUCAACUCCGUGAUGGGAUGGAAACUGGGAUUCUUGAGUACCGGAGAGGAAAGCGGAAUUCCCCGUGUAGCGGUGAAAUGCGUAGAUAUGGGGAGGAACACCAGUGGCGAAGGCGGCUUUCUGGACGGUGUCUGACACUGAGGCGCGAAAGCCAGGGGAGCGAACGGGAUUAGAAACCCGGGUAGUCC
RNAcentral lists this ribosomal RNA (450 nucleotides) under uncultured bacterium. RNAcentral describes it as "partial 16S ribosomal RNA". It matches the Rfam family "Bacterial small subunit ribosomal RNA", at positions 354 to 796 of the family's 1533-position model. The record is from RNAcentral.